RNAcentral lists this small nuclear RNA (27 nucleotides) under Saccharomyces cerevisiae (brewer's yeast). The record is from RNAcentral. Lineage: Eukaryota; Fungi; Ascomycota; Saccharomycetes; Saccharomycetales; Saccharomycetaceae.
UUCCCCUGCAUAAGGAUGAACCGUUUU